RNAcentral lists this ribosomal RNA (468 nucleotides) under uncultured bacterium. RNAcentral describes it as "partial 16S ribosomal RNA". The stretch from base 48 to 468 matches the Rfam family "Bacterial small subunit ribosomal RNA", at positions 35 to 507 of the family's 1533-position model. The record is from RNAcentral.
GGGGGGGGGGGGGGGGGGGGGGGGCGGGGGGGGGGGGGGGGGGGGGGGCCGGCGUUGGGGGGGGGGGCGGGGGGCGCCCGGGUGAGUAGCCCGCGGGUAACCUGCCCGUGCCGGGGGGGUAACUUCCGGAACCUGCGGCUACGGCCUGGCACGCGCGCCUGCCCCCUGGGGUGGCGGCGCCCGCUUCGGCGGGUGGUGCUGUCCCCUCGGCGUCUCAGCUGGUCGGGGGGGUAGUGGCGUACCACGGCUUCGACGGGUAGCCGGCCUGAGAGGGGGACCGGCCACAUUGGGACUGAGAUACGGCCCAGACUCCUACGGGAGGCAGCAGUGGGGAAUAUUGCACAAUGGGCGGAAGCCUGAUGCAGCAACGCCGCGUGCGGGAUGACGGCCUUCGGGUUGUAAACCGCUUUCGCCUGUGACGAAGCGUGAGUGACGGUAAUGGGUAAAGAAGCACCGGCUAACUACGUG